RNAcentral lists this ribosomal RNA (497 nucleotides) under uncultured bacterium. RNAcentral's name for it is "partial 16S ribosomal RNA". It matches the Rfam family "Bacterial small subunit ribosomal RNA", at positions 28 to 507 of the family's 1533-position model. The record is from RNAcentral.
GAUGAACGCUGGCGGCGUGCCUAAUACAUGCAAGUCGAGCGAACAGACGAGGAGCUUGCUCCUCUGACGUUAGCGGCGGACGGGUGAGUAACACGUGGAUAACCUACCUAUAAGACUGGGAUAACUUCGGGAAACCGGAGCUAAUACCGGAUAAUAUAUUGAACCGCAUGGUUCAAUAGUGAAAGACGGCUUUGCUGUCACUUAUAGAUGGAUCCGCGCCGCAUUAGCUAGUUGGUAAGGUAACGGCUUACCAAGGCAACGAUGCGUAGCCGACCUGAGAGGGUGAUCGGCCACACUGGAACUGAGACACGGUCCAGACUCCUACGGGAGGCAGCAGUAGGGAAUCUUCCGCAAAGGGCGAAAGCUUGACGGAGCAACGCCGCGUGAGUGAUGAAGGUCUUCGGAUCGUAAAACUCUGUUAUUAGGGAAGAACAAAUGUGUAAGUAACUAUGCACGUCUUGACGGUACCUAAUCAGAAAGCCACGGCUAACUACGUG